RNAcentral lists this ribosomal RNA (886 nucleotides) under uncultured bacterium. Its description in RNAcentral is "bacterial SSU rRNA". It matches the Rfam family "Bacterial small subunit ribosomal RNA", at positions 8 to 912 of the family's 1533-position model. The record is from RNAcentral.
AGAGUUUGAUCAUGGCUCAGGAUGAACGCUGGCGGCGUGCCUAAUACAUGCAAGUCGAACGGAGAAUGUAGCAAUACGUUCUUAGUGGCGAACGGGUGAGUAACGCGUUGGUGACCUGCCUCGAAGAGAGGGAUAACAGUCCGAAAGGAUUGCUAAUACCUCAUGUGAUUGUAGGGUUUAGAAGCUUACAAUUAAAGGAGUAAUUCACUUCGAGAGGGACCUGCGUACCAUCAGCUAGUUGGUGAGGUAACGGCCCACCAAGGCGAUGACGGUUAGGGGACCUGAGAGGGUGGCCCCCCACAAUGGAACUGAAACACGGUCCAUACACCUACGGGUGGCAGCAGUAGGGAAUAUUAGUUAAUGUGCGAAAGCGCGAACUAGCAACGCCGCGUGUGCGAUGAAGGCCUUCGGGUCGUAAAGCACUUUUCUAAGGGAUGAGGAAGGACAGUACCUUAGGAAUAAGCAUCGGCUAACUACGUGCCAGCAGCCGCGGUAAAACGUAGGAUGCAAGCGUUAUCCGGAUUUACUGGGCGUAAAGCGCGUGUAGGCGGUUUGGUAAGUUGGAUGUGAAAGCUCCUGGCUUAACUGGGAGAGGUCGUUCAAUACUGCUAAGCUUGAGGAUGGUAGAGGGAGGUGGAAUUCCGAGUGUAGUGGUGAAAUGCGUAGAUAUUCGGAGGAACACCAGUGGCGAAAGCGGCCUCCUGGACCAUUUCUGACGCUCAGACGCGAAAGCUAGGGUAGCAAACGGGAUUAGAGACCCCGGUAGUCCUAGCCGUAAACGAUGUAGACUUGGCGUCGGCGGGUUUAAAUCCGUCGGUGUCGAAGCUAACGCGAUAAGUCUACCGCCUGGGGACUACGGCCGCAAGGUUAAAACUCAAAGGAAUUG